This 420-nucleotide ribosomal RNA is filed under the name uncultured Alphaproteobacteria bacterium. RNAcentral describes it as "bacterial SSU rRNA". It matches the Rfam family "Bacterial small subunit ribosomal RNA", at positions 8 to 456 of the family's 1533-position model. Lineage: Bacteria; Pseudomonadati; Pseudomonadota; Alphaproteobacteria. The record is from RNAcentral.
AGAGUUUGAUCCUGGCUCAGAACGAACGCUGGCGGCAUGCCUAACACAUGCAAGUCGAACGAGACCUUCGGGUCUAGUGGCGCACGGGUGCGUAACGCGUGGGAAUCUGCCCUCUGGUACGGAAUAACUCAGGGAAACUUGAGCUAAUACCGUAUAAUGACUUCGGUCCAAAGAUUUAUCGCCUGAGGAUGAGCCCGCGUAGGAUUAGCUUGUUGGUGAGGUAAAAGCUCACCAAGGCGACGAUCCUUAGCUGGUCUGAGAGGAUGAUCAGCCACACUGGGACUGAGACACGGCCCAGACUCCUACGGGAGGCAGCAGUGGGGAAUAUUGGACAAUGGGCGAAAGCCUGAUCCAGCAAUGCCGCGUGAGUGAUGAAGGCCUUAGGGUUGUAAAGCUCUUUUACCCGGGAAGAUAAUGACU